CCUACGUGGGGCAGCAGUGGGGGAUAUUGCACAAUGGGGGAAACCCUGAUGCAGCGACGCCGCGUGUGGGAAGACGGUCCUCUGGAUUGUACACCACUGUCCCCAGGGACGAAGAUGACGGUACCUGGGGAGGAAGCUCCGGCUAACUACGUGCCAGCAGCCGCGGUAAUACGUAGGGAGCGAGCGUUGUUCGGAAUGACUGGGCGUAAAGGGUGUGUAGGCGGUGUAGCAAGUUAGAAGUGAAAUACCUAGAGCUUAACUCAGGUGCUGCUUCUAAAACUGCUAUACUUGAGUGCAGUAGAGGAAAGUGGAAUUCCUAGUGUAGCGGUGGAAUGCGUAGAUAUUAGGAGGAACAUCAGUGGCGAAGGCGACUUUCUGGACUGUAACUGACGCUGAGGCACGAAAGUGUGGGGAGCAAACAGGAUUAGAUACCCGAGUAGUC
Molecule: ribosomal RNA, 442 nt
Filed under: uncultured bacterium
Lineage: Bacteria
Description: partial 16S ribosomal RNA
Rfam family: Bacterial small subunit ribosomal RNA
Source: RNAcentral